RNAcentral lists this long non-coding RNA (236 nucleotides) under Panax ginseng (ginseng). Its description in RNAcentral is "long non-coding RNA (PGIN_LNC002445)". The record is from RNAcentral. Lineage: Eukaryota; Viridiplantae; Streptophyta; Magnoliopsida; Apiales; Araliaceae.
GAAAGAUAAACCCUACUGUUCAUCUUUCUUCCUCACCAAAAUUGAAAAUACAAUCAGAUGACACCGGCAAUCACAUACAUGUACCAUGUACUUAUACUACUAACCUAUUCAUGAACCAUGUAUACAAUUCUUAAGAAACAGGUUUACUUAUCAACAUAACGCCUAUUACCUAGGGGUGGAAAAUGUGGUGAAUUCACCAUUUGAUAAAAAUGCUCCAUGGUUUUAAGAAGAGGAAU